This 274-nucleotide ribosomal RNA is filed under the name uncultured bacterium. RNAcentral describes it as "partial 16S ribosomal RNA". It matches the Rfam family "Bacterial small subunit ribosomal RNA", at positions 523 to 796 of the family's 1533-position model. The record is from RNAcentral.
AUACGGGGGGUGCAAGCGUUAAUGGGAAUUACUGGGCGUAAAGCGCGCGUAGGCGGUUUGCUCAGUCGGAUGUGAAAGCCCAGGGCUCAACCUUGGAACUGCAUACGAUACUGGCAAACUAGAGUGUGAGAGAGGAUAGUGGAAUUUCCGGUGUAGCGGUGAAAUGCGUAGAUAUCGGAAGGAACAUCAGUGGCGAAGGCGACUGUCUGGCUCAACACUGACGCUGAGGUGCGAAAGCGUGGGUAGCAAACAGGAUUAGAAACCCUAGUAGUCC